GAGGAGCAGAGCCUGGACAGACAAAACACUAGUGCUUUUUCAGACACCACUCAGGUCCUCAAGCACUGGUUUCCUGAUGCCAUACAUGAAACAGAAGGCUGAUUUUGGAAACUGCAUGCUCAGGAAUCAAGCCAAAUAGUUUGUAUUCAGGGUUAUGAUGCUGGAGAAUCCAAAGGCAGUGAGACCCCAGGCAGCCUGCCAAACCGUUUAGUCUUAGCGCUCCACCAGCAAGCACUAUGGAAAUGACCCUUAGUUGUAAAGGAAGAACCGCGUACCCACUCUCAGGAGAGGAACUUUGGACCCGAGAGCCAGAAGCAACCUGUAACUCACCUUUCCUUGCUGGGCACAUCCUCGGGGUCCCACCAGCACCAUUUCCAACCCCAGCUCUAAGCCUGGGAGUGCCAAACUGCAGGUGGGCAGUGUCAGGGCUCCUUGUCCUCUAGCGACCGUUACCUCUACUGACAAUUCAGAUCCCAUCCUCUGCCUCCCGAUGGCAAACCGUUCUGUCUGCACUGCUCAUGACCAUCUGUGAGCCUAAUCUGGUCCUCCUUUCUUUCUCAGAAAGCUCAAGGGCCUUACAGAGGGUGGUGUUUCUCUCUCAAAGUCUCCCAUAUCCUUCCCUGCUCCCUAUCAGCAGCCCUUGAAGUCAAUCAGCCAAAUGCACUAUGAGUCAGAUAAUUGGCUGUAAAUUAUCUCCCCUCUGUCCUCCUUUUAGCCCCCCUUUAUCUUACGCGAUCUGGCUUUAGACAAGAUUUCCCCUCAGGGGUGCACAAAAGGAGGGAGAGGCUCCGAUCAAAGAAAAAUGUGGCAUAUUCAGAGAACACUCGAGAGAGACAGGUUUCUGGGAUGGGCAGAGCCUGCCCUCCAAAGGACCCCUCUUUUAUACCCUCCACUGAUGACCACUGGCCCUGCCCUCCAGAUGCCAAACAUCGUGGAAGCCUGAUUCUGGAAGACAAAAUGCCCAGUCCUCAAACAAACUGCGUGUGCUUCAGAGUUCUGCCUCUGGAGGAUCAAAAGGCAGUCUGAACCUCACAUAUCUGUCCUUUAAGGUGGGCUUUGGGCUAGCUGUGCCACUUGAAAGUGACCCAGAUGUGGGAAGGUGGAACAAGUUUCCUUUCACCAGGUCAUUGAGCUGAACCCACUCCAAGUCAUGUGAUCAGAUUUCAAUGAGUCAGCCUCCCCAUCUUCAUUUCUGUCACUCGGGUCGAGAUGCAGCCUCUGCAGAAUCCAAAGGCAGUCAGAACUCUUCACGGACUGUCCAG
This is a long non-coding RNA of Phacochoerus africanus (Common warthog), 1262 nucleotides long. RefSeq lists it as uncharacterized. NCBI's taxonomy places the organism in Eukaryota, Metazoa, Chordata, Mammalia, Artiodactyla, Suidae. The record is from RefSeq and is a predicted model, not a curated record. The transcript is spliced from 3 exons.